RNAcentral lists this ribosomal RNA (994 nucleotides) under Metarhizium pemphigi. RNAcentral's name for it is "SSU rRNA". It matches the Rfam family "Eukaryotic small subunit ribosomal RNA", at positions 86 to 1089 of the family's 1831-position model. Lineage: Eukaryota; Fungi; Ascomycota; Sordariomycetes; Hypocreales; Clavicipitaceae. The record is from RNAcentral.
ACUGCGAAUGGCUCAUUAUAUAAGUUAUCGUUUAUUUGAUAGUACCUUACUACUUGGAUAACCGUGGUAAUUCUAGAGCUAAUACAUGCUAAAAAUCCCGACUUCGGAAGGGAUGUAUUUAUUAGAUUAAAAACCAAUGCCCCUCGGGGCUCUCUGGUGAUUCAUAAUAACUUCUCGAAUCGCACGGCCUUGCGCCGGCGAUGGUUCAUUCAAAUUUCUUCCCUAUCAACUUUCGAUGUUUGGGUAGUGGCCAAACAUGGUUGCAACGGGUAACGGAGGGUUAGGGCUCGACCCCGGAGAAGGAGCCUGAGAAACGGCUACUACAUCCAAGGAAGGCAGCAGGCGCGCAAAUUACCCAAUCCCGAUUCGGGGAGGUAGUGACAAUAAAUACUGAUACAGGGCUCUUUCGGGUCUUGUAAUUGGAAUGAGUACAAUUUAAAUCCCUUAACGAGGAACAAUUGGAGGGCAAGUCUGGUGCCAGCAGCCGCGGUAAUUCCAGCUCCAAUAGCGUAUAUUAAAGUUGUUGUGGUUAAAAAGCUCGUAGUUGAACCUUGGGCCUGGCUGGCCGGUCCGCCUCACCGCGUGUCACUGGUCCGGCCGGGUCUUUCCCUCUGUGGAACCACAUGCCCUUCACUGGGCGUGGCGGGGAAACAGGACUUUUACUUUGAAAAAAUUAGAGUGCUCCAGGCAGGCCUAUGCUCGAAUACAUUAGCAUGGAAUAAUGAAAUAGGACGUGCGGUUCUAUUUUGUUGGUUUCUAGGACCGCCGUAAUGAUUAAUAGGGACAGUCGGGGGCAUCAGUAUUCAAUUGUCAGAGGUGAAAUUCUUGGAUUUAUUGAAGACUAACUACUGCGAAAGCAUUUGCCAAGGAUGUUUUCAUUAAUCAGAACGAAAGUUAGGGGAUCGAAGACGAUCAGAUACCGUCGUAGUCUUAACCAUAAACUAUGCCGACUAGGGAUCGGACGAUGUUAUUUAGUUGACUCGUUCGGCACCUU